This 253-nucleotide ribosomal RNA is filed under the name uncultured bacterium. RNAcentral describes it as "partial 16S ribosomal RNA". It matches the Rfam family "Bacterial small subunit ribosomal RNA", at positions 524 to 776 of the family's 1533-position model. The record is from RNAcentral.
UACGUAGGGGGCAAGCGUUAUCCGGAUUUACUGGGUGUAAAGGGAGCGUAGGCGGCCAUGUAAGUCAGAAGUGAAAGCCCGGGGCUCAACCCCGGGACUGCUUUUGAGACUGUGUGGCUGGAGUGUCGGAGGGGUAAGUGGAAUUCCUAGUGUAGCGGUGAAAUGCGUAGAUAUUAGGAGGAACACCAGUGGCGAAGGCGGCUUACUGGACGAUCACUGACGCUGAGGCUCGAAAGCGUGGGGAGCAAACAGG